AAUUAAUACGCUAUUCAUGUUAAUAAACAAAAGAUAAAUUUUCUAAUCUCUCAAAAGAUGUCAUAGCUGGUAACAUAACGUGUAUUGUGUUGCUACGAAAAUAUUGUAUAUUUUACGCUUGGCUGCAAAGAAGGCUUCCAGCUGGUUCUAUUCAUUCAUUAAAUUUAUCCACGGGUUUUACAAUGAGAGAGGUUCAGUACUACGAUGCACUUAUCCAGAAAGAGAAAGACAGCAAGAGAGAAAAAGAAAUGAAGAUGGAAUAAAAUAGGGACAGACAAGACUUUCAAAUGUUUCGAGCAUAUUCGACAUGGCCAAUCACGUAUUCAUAGUUAUACGUAGAUUCUAAUUGUCUCCAGCAAUCUAUUAAAACAGCCCGAAGCUAAGAUCGUAUAUCGAUUAACAUGUCAAUUUAUUGAAACAAUCCGAAAGAGCUGUUAAGAUUACACACCGAUUAAUAUGUUGAUGUAUAUUACAUAAACGAUUUGACGUAAAUUUCCAUAUGACCCUGCAGUAUCAUUGAAAAGACAAGGGUUAUCAGCGAAAUUAUCACGUUACAUAUCGUAUUUUUAAAACAAAAAUAAAUUGUAAAGAGGCAUGCAUAAAUCGUACAUCGUUUGCUCAUACAAACUAAGAUCACGUAAUAAUGAGAAAUCUAUUCGAACGAAUUACAUAAUUUAUUUCAACAACGAACAAUGUAACAAAUAACAAAAACAAAUUCUCGUAGAGUGCAUUGUACGGCACGUUCACCAGAAUUGACGGCGUUCAUCAGAAGAUUUCGCUGGCAAGAUUUAAUAAAACAGUAUCCGGUG
This is a long non-coding RNA of Pogonomyrmex barbatus (red harvester ant), 809 nucleotides long. Lineage: Eukaryota; Metazoa; Arthropoda; Insecta; Hymenoptera; Formicidae. The record is from RefSeq and is a predicted model, not a curated record.